CCUACGGGUGGCAGCAGUGAGGAAUCUUGGUCAAUGGGCGUAAGCCUGAACCAGCCAAGUCGCGUGGGUGAUGAAGGUUCUAUGGAUCGUAAACCUCUUUUAUAAGGGAAUAAAUGGCUGGACGUGUCUCUUUUUGUAUGUACCUUAUGUAUAAGGAUCGGCGAACUCAGUGCCAGCAGCCGCGGUCAUACGGAGGGUCCGAGCGUUAUCCGGAUUUAUUGGGUUUAAAGGGUGCGUAGGCGGUCUUUUAAGUCAGAGGUGAAAGUCUGUGGCUCAACCAUAGAAUUGCCGUUGAAACUGGGAGGCUUGAGUAUGUUAGAGGAAGGUGGAACGCGUGGUGUAGCGGUGAAAUGCUUAGAUAUAACGAAGAACCCCGGUUGCGAAGGCAGCUUGCCAAGCCAUGACUGACGCUGAUGCACGAAAGCGUGGGGAUCAAACAGGAUUAGAUACCCGGGUAGUC
RNAcentral lists this ribosomal RNA (460 nucleotides) under uncultured bacterium. RNAcentral's name for it is "partial 16S ribosomal RNA". It matches the Rfam family "Bacterial small subunit ribosomal RNA", at positions 338 to 795 of the family's 1533-position model. The record is from RNAcentral.